Molecule: ribosomal RNA, 611 nt
Filed under: Rhodosporidiobolus ruineniae
Lineage: Eukaryota; Fungi; Basidiomycota; Microbotryomycetes; Sporidiobolales; Sporidiobolaceae
Description: LSU rRNA
Rfam family: Eukaryotic large subunit ribosomal RNA
Source: RNAcentral
AAGCGGAGGAAAAGAAACUAACAAGGAACUUCCYCUAGUAGCGGCGAGCGAAGCGGGAAGAGCUCAAAUUUAUAAUCUGGCGCUUUCAGCGUCCGAGUUGUAAUCUCUAGAAGUGUUUUCCGCGUUGGACCGCACAUAAGUCUGUUGGAAUACAGCGGCACAGUGGUGAGACCCCCGUUCACGGUGCGGAUGCCCAAUGCUUUGUGAUACACUUUCGAAGAGUCGAGUUGUUUGGGAAUGCAGCUCAAAUUGGGUGGUAAAUUCCAUCUAAAGCUAAAUAUUGGCGAGAGACCGAUAGCGAACAAGUACCGUGAGGGAAAGAUGAAAAGCACUUUGGAAAGAGAGUUAACAGUACGUGAAAUUGUUGGAAGGGAAACGCUUGAAGUCAGACUUGCUAUUCGGGGCUUGCUCCGAGUUGCAGGCCAGCAUCAGUUUUUCGGGGCGGAAAAUCACGGAUUGAAGGUAGCAGUUUCGGCUGUGUUAUAGCUUUCCGUUGGAUACGUCCUGGGGGACUGAGGAACGCAGUGUGCUUUUAGCGAGGGCUUCGGCUCUUUCACACUUAGGAUGCUGGUGGAAUGGCUUUAAACGACCCGUCUUGAAACCACGGACCA